Pimephales promelas (fathead minnow) is the source of this 245-nucleotide non-coding RNA. The record is from RefSeq and is a predicted model, not a curated record. NCBI's taxonomy places the organism in Eukaryota, Metazoa, Chordata, Actinopteri, Cypriniformes, Leuciscidae.
GCAGAGCAGCUCAUACACACCAUCAUCAUCUCCUGAUGAGCAGCGUCUUCAGUCUUCAGUCUGAUUCCCGUGUGUGCAGUGAAUGAAGAGCUCUUUAAACACGGCAGUGGAAACUUGUGAAACAUCUGUCAGUCUGUGUGUUAUUCCACAAACUUCUGCUUUGACCUGCAGACCAAACAUACACUCCUGUCAGUAACUGCCUGUCAAGAUUUCAUGAAACAAUGGCAGAACAAAACGCCAGCGUC